RNAcentral lists this long non-coding RNA (2704 nucleotides) under Gossypium barbadense (sea-island cotton). Its description in RNAcentral is "long non-coding RNA (GBAR_LNC003832)". Lineage: Eukaryota; Viridiplantae; Streptophyta; Magnoliopsida; Malvales; Malvaceae. The record is from RNAcentral.
UCAUCAUUUUUCUUCAGCAAAAACGCCAUGGAAGGUCUGAAAGCUGCUGGUUUUUCAUACUUUGACAUAUGUGAGUUCAAUUCUUGCCCUUUUCUUUGAGAUUUUUAUGUUUUUUGACUUUUACAAUUAAGUCCAAGUGUUUAAUUCAUUAGUUUUUUAUUUUAUGGACAAAAUUAAAAGUUAUCAUUGACAAGUGUUGGCUGUUUAUGAUGAAUUAAAAUGAAUUUGAAGCUUUGAUUUUAUUUUUUGAUGAUUUUAUCAAGUAAUUUCAAUAGAAAUUGAUUUUAGGACCUAAUUAUGAGAAAGUUGUGAAUUAAGGUUUAGUGUUAAAAUUAUAAUUUUCAAAGGUUGUGUAAUAGUUUAGAAUGAUGGAAUAAAUGUUAAUUGAGAAAAAUUAGCUUAUUAGAUGAGCUAAUUGAGCAAGGACUGAAUUGUAUGACCUGUGAAAUUUAGAGGAAAAUUGGUAAUAAACAUCUUGAACUAAAACAGUUUUGGACAGCAGCAGUAGGAUAAUUUUGUAAAAUCACCAUAAAUUGUAAAAAUCGAAUUAGAGGAUGAAUAAUAUAUGAAAUUAAAGCUUAUUGAGUCUAGUUUCUCAUAGAAGAAACGGUGUAAGCAAUUGAAUUGUAAAUUAUGUGCUAUAAUGAGUUUUGUGAGACAAGGUCAGAAUGAAUUCGGAUUCUCCUGUUUUAAAUUUAGAAAAUCACCAAAAAUUGGAGAAAAUUAAUUAGAGGCUCAAAUUUAUAUGCUUAGGAUCUUUAAUGAGUCUAUUUUCAAUAGAAAUCAACGGGAACAUUAUCCGAGUUCUGUACUGUGAUAUAAUUAAUUUUUAGUGAAGAGAGAUCAGAACUGUUGGAUAGUGAAACAGGGGAAACUUAAAUGAAUAAACUGUACUAAUUGGCUAAACCAAAAAUUAUGAAAUUUUUAUGGUAAGAAGACAUAUGAGUCUAGUUUCUGGGAAAAUUUAUGGAUCUUAAUUUGGAAUUCUGUAUCUCAAGAUAAAAAUAAUUUAGUAACUAUAACACAGAUGGACAGCGUGAAUAUUCACAUAAGUAGAUAGUGAAAAUUAUGGAUAAUGUUACCUAUAAGUGUGUUGUUUAUACUAAGGAUGUGGAUGGAGAGGAGGAGGAGGAAAAUAUACAUUUAUAUAUGAAUGACUUGUGUAUAAAUUGAUCACGUGCCCGAUUAUAAUCGAUAAAUGUUGAAUUAGAAAGGAUAUAAUGUUUUAUUUGGAAUAUUUAAUAUGAAAUUAUGAUUAUCGUUAUAAUACAAAAAUCGUACUAGUGAGUUUGUAUAACUAAAUUUUAGUGACCGUUUGUUAAUUUUAUGAAUUUCAUGAUGUGUUAUUUCAUAUGAAUUGAUGAUAAAAUCGUGAAUAAUGUAAGAGCAUGAAAAUUGAAUAAACGAUCAAAUUAAAUAUUUUCAGUGACAAGAUGAAUUGAUGGAAAAGACAAUGGUUGAUCCAUGGCAAAGUGCAAAAUAUAGGUAUGGUAUUAUCCAUACCGAGUUGUGAAAUGUAGGUAUGGUAUCAUCCAUACCGAGUUGAGAAAUAUAGGUAUGGUAUUAUCCAUACUGAGUUAAGAAAUGUAGGUAUGGCAUUUCCCAUACCGAGUUGUGAAACGUAGGUAUGGUAUUUUCCAUACCGAGUAUAAAAUGUAGGUAUGGUAUUUCAAUGAGGAAAACCAUACCGAGUGGUGAAUCGUGGCACUGAGCAAAUGACAGACUCAAAUUCGUAAGACAUUCUCUAAUUUGACAAAGAUUGAUAAGUGACAUAUGAAAUGAGUAUUUGUAGACUUAUGGUUAUUAUUGAUAUUGAGCUGAAUUAAGUGUACCCAUUGAUAUUUAAAUGAUUCAAGGGGUAAGGUUCUGAUAUGAGAUAAUAUGAGUUUGAAAUGAAUUAUCACCGGUAUAUACCUGAAUUAUAUGGAAAUGAUGGUACGUGAAAAAAAUUGAUAUAAUGAAAUGAAUAAUAAAUGUUUAUAAAGAAACAGCAAAAGAAUUAUAUCUAUCAUGAUAUGUAAAAGCGUGAUUAUCUUUUAUAUGUUGUUACAAGUGAAAUUUCUGUUAAAUGAUCUGUAAAUUUUGGUAAUACUCUGAAUCCCUAUUCCGACGACGGAUACGGGUUAAGGGUGUUACAGCCUUGCUUAUUGGCAUCUUCUUCAAUGUGUUUGAUAUUCUAGGUAGCAUUUAUGUGGUUGAUAAUCCUUAAUUCCCAUACAAGUUAUAAUAAUUUUGAAACACAUUAGUCAUUAUGAAUUAGCCAUUGGCUAUGUGUGAUCCAAAAUCUUAGACUUGGAGAGAACAAAUUUCUGUAGCAGGAAAUAUGCAUCUUUCUUUUUUGUAGGUACAAGAGAUUGUGAAGUGAAACUGAAAAUUACUGUCACGUCGAAAUAAUGGUUUCAAAUUGUGGGAAAAAAAAACAAAUGUUAUGUAGAUUGAAAAUCAAUAAUUCGUUUUAACUCAUUUGGUUUCUUUGAAUCUUUUUAUUAAGUCAACUAAGAAAUGAGAUUGUAGCUUCUUUGUUUUCAAGCAUCUGGCCAUAAAAUUAUGAACAAUCUUUUUCUCAUGAAUUUUCCGUAAGAAAUUAGAGAACUUGUUUCUCAGUUUGGAGCUUGGAAGUAUUAGUCAAGAAAUUAACAACUCUUAUUCCCAACUUCAAAUUACUCGAGAGUAAAAAAUCCCAUUAAAUAAAUCUGCAGGAGAG